GAACUGAGAACCUGCUGCUGAGCAC
RNAcentral lists this non-coding RNA (25 nucleotides) under Cricetulus griseus (Chinese hamster). Lineage: Eukaryota; Metazoa; Chordata; Mammalia; Rodentia; Cricetidae. The record is from RNAcentral.